This 253-nucleotide ribosomal RNA is filed under the name uncultured bacterium. RNAcentral's name for it is "partial 16S ribosomal RNA". It matches the Rfam family "Bacterial small subunit ribosomal RNA", at positions 524 to 776 of the family's 1533-position model. The record is from RNAcentral.
UACGUAGGGUGCGAGCGUUGUCCGGAAUUAUUGGGCGUAAAGGGCUCGUAGGCGGUUUGUCGCGUCGGGAGUGAAAUCCACUGGCUUAACUGGUGGCUUGCUUUCGAUACGGGCAGACUGGAGGUAUGCAGGGGAGAACGGAAUUCCUGGUGUAGCGGUGAAAUGCGCAGAUAUCAGGAGGAACACCGGUGGCGAAGGCGGUUCUCUGGGCAUUACCUGACGCUGAGGAGCGAAAGCGUGGGGAGCGAACAGG